RNAcentral lists this ribosomal RNA (225 nucleotides) under uncultured bacterium. Its description in RNAcentral is "partial 16S ribosomal RNA". It matches the Rfam family "Bacterial small subunit ribosomal RNA", at positions 524 to 747 of the family's 1533-position model. The record is from RNAcentral.
UACGAAGGGGGCAAGCGUUGUUCGGAAUGACUGGGCGUAAAGGGCGCGUAGGCGGUUCGUUGCGUCAGAUGUGAAAGCCCCGGGCUCAACCUGGGAACUGCAUUUGAUACGGGCGGGCUUGAAUCCAAGAGAGGGUGGUGGAAUUCCCAGUGUAGAGGUGAAAUUCGUAGAUAUUGGGAAGAACACCAGUGGCGUAAGGCGGCCACCUGGCUUGGUAUUGACGCU